Molecule: non-coding RNA, 29 nt
Filed under: Mus musculus (house mouse)
Lineage: Eukaryota; Metazoa; Chordata; Mammalia; Rodentia; Muridae
Source: RNAcentral
UGCCAUUUGUCCCGUGUCUUCAGUGCCAA